Molecule: ribosomal RNA, 253 nt
Filed under: uncultured bacterium
Lineage: Bacteria
Description: partial 16S ribosomal RNA
Rfam family: Bacterial small subunit ribosomal RNA
Source: RNAcentral
UACGUAGGCAGCAAGCGUUGUUCGGAGUUACUGGGCGUAAAGGGCGCGUAGGCGGUUGUUUAAGUUUGGUGUGAAAUCUCCCGGCUCAACUGGGAGGGUGCGCCGAAUACUGAAUGACUAGAGUGCGGGAGAGGAUAGUGGAAUUCCUGGUGUAGCGGUGAAAUGCGUAGAUAUCGGGAGGAACACCAGUGGCGAAGGCGGCGAUCUGGGAAGAUACUGACGCUGAGGUGCGAAAGCGUGGGGAGCAAACAGG